GGAGUUGGCCAGACAGUCGCCGCCGCGCUUGCGCGGGGGAGGAAAGUCCGGGCUCCAUAGGGCAGAGUGCCAGGUAACGCCUGGGCGGCGUGAGCCGACGGAAAGUGCAGCAGAGAGUAGACCGCCUAAGCCUUUCGGGGCCGGUAAGGGUGAAAGGGUGCGGUAAGAGCGCACCGCGCGGCUGGCAACAGUACGUGGCAAGGUAAACCCCACUCGGAGCAAGACCAAAUAGGAACCCGUUGGCGUGGCCCGCGCUGGGUUCGGGUAGGUUGCUUGAGCGCUAGGGUGACGUAGCGCCUAGAGGAAUGGCUGUCCACGACAGAACCCGGCUUAUCGGCCGACUCCCCCA
This 349-nucleotide RNase P RNA is filed under the name Vreelandella subglaciescola. RNAcentral describes it as "Halomonas subglaciescola Bacterial RNase P class A". It matches the Rfam family "Bacterial RNase P class A". From Rfam's summary of the family: Ribonuclease P (RNase P) is a ubiquitous endoribonuclease, found in archaea, bacteria and eukarya as well as chloroplasts and mitochondria. The record is from Rfam by way of RNAcentral. Lineage: Bacteria; Pseudomonadati; Pseudomonadota; Gammaproteobacteria; Oceanospirillales; Halomonadaceae.